ACAACAGAUAGAAAGAGUAGAACAU
Molecule: non-coding RNA, 25 nt
Filed under: Cricetulus griseus (Chinese hamster)
Lineage: Eukaryota; Metazoa; Chordata; Mammalia; Rodentia; Cricetidae
Source: RNAcentral